AUUGAACGCUGGCGGCAUGCCUUACACAUGCAAGUCGAACGGCAGCAUGAUCUAGCUUGCUAGAUUGAUGGCGAGUGGCGAACGGGUGAGUAAUACAUCGGAACGUGCCCUGUAGUUGGGGAUAACUAGUCGAAAGAUUAGCUAAUACCGCAUACGACCUGAGGGUGAGAGUGGGGGACCGCAAGGCCUCAUGCUAUAGGAGCGGCCGAUGUCUGAUUAGCUAGUUGGUGAGGUAAAGGCUCACCAAGGCGACGAUCAGUAGCUGGUCUGAGAGGACGAUCAGCCACACUGGGACUGAGACACGGCCCAGACUCCUACGGGAGGCAGCAGUGGGGAAUUUUGGACAAUGGGCGAAAGCCUGAUCCAGCAAUGCCGCGUGUGUGAAGAAGGCCUUCGGGUUGUAAAGCACUUUUGUCCGGAAAGAAAUGGCUCUGGUUAAUACCUGGGGUCGAUGACGGUACCGGAAGAAUAAGGACCGGCUAACUACGUG
RNAcentral lists this ribosomal RNA (490 nucleotides) under uncultured bacterium. Its description in RNAcentral is "partial 16S ribosomal RNA". It matches the Rfam family "Bacterial small subunit ribosomal RNA", at positions 30 to 507 of the family's 1533-position model. The record is from RNAcentral.